This 468-nucleotide ribosomal RNA is filed under the name uncultured bacterium. RNAcentral describes it as "partial 16S ribosomal RNA". It matches the Rfam family "Bacterial small subunit ribosomal RNA", at positions 28 to 507 of the family's 1533-position model. The record is from RNAcentral.
GACGAACGCUGGCGGCGUGCUUAACACAUGCAAGUCGAACGGAAAGGCCCUGCUUUUGUGGGGUGCUCGAGUGGCGAACGGGUGAGUAACACGUGAGUAACCUGCCCUUGACUUUGGGAUAACUUCAGGAAACUGGGGCUAAUACCGGAUAGGAGCUCCUGCUGCAUGGUGGGGGUUGGAAAGGUUCGGCGGUUGGGGAUGGACUCGCGGCUUAUCAGCUUGUUGGUGGGGUAGUGGCUUACCAAGGCUUUGACGGGUAGCCGGCCUGAGAGGGUGACCGGCCACAUUGGGACUGAGAUACGGCCCAGACUCCUACGGGAGGCAGCAGUGGGGAAUAUUGCACAAUGGGCGGAAGCCUGAGGCAGCAACGCCGCGUGCGGGAUGACGGCCUUCGGGUUGUAAACCGCUUUCGCCUGUGACGAAGCGUGAGUGACGGUAAUGGGUAAAGAAGCACCGGCUAACUACGUG